GGGGGUGUGGCCGAGCGGUCGAAGGCACCGGUCUUGAAAACCGGCAGGCGCGAGAGUGUCUCGUGGGUUCGAAUCCCACCGCCCCCGCCA
This 90-nucleotide transfer RNA is filed under the name Jannaschia helgolandensis. Its description in RNAcentral is "tRNA_Ser_TGA". It matches the Rfam family "tRNA". From Rfam's summary of the family: Transfer RNA (tRNA) molecules are approximately 80 nucleotides in length. The record is from RNAcentral. Lineage: Bacteria; Pseudomonadati; Pseudomonadota; Alphaproteobacteria; Rhodobacterales; Roseobacteraceae.